This is a long non-coding RNA of Oryzias sinensis (Chinese medaka), 2920 nucleotides long. The record is from Ensembl. Lineage: Eukaryota; Metazoa; Chordata; Actinopteri; Beloniformes; Adrianichthyidae.
UUAUAGGUUUCUCUUCCAGAGAAAAACAAAAACACAAUAAUUUAGUCUUUGUAUUUUUCAGUGCAGAGGUUGACUCAAAGUGCUUCAAAUUGCACUGCGAUACAUUCUUCACACUCUGGACCUCUUGUGGAAAAGAACUCGCAGUAAAAAUAGUGAUAACCGACUUGCAAGCACAUCCCGCAGACCAAAAAAAAAAAAAAAACACAAAAAACGUACAAAUUAAAUAAAAUACAACAAUAAUUAAACAAAAGUCAUAUUCUCUGCAAUCAAAACUUAGAUGUUUAAAGAUAAACAUUAAAAGUUUGAAGUUCAACACAAUAUGCAAUUAAAAUGUCACUUCAGGUCAAAGGCCAAGCUUCUCACAUUCAAGAAAAAAACUAAAGCACACACACAUUAAAGCAGGUCUUUUCUGAGCUGUCAGAUGCUCCCCAGAAAUAAAGACUUAGUUUAAAUUGAUGACAAACAAAGCAGAGCACCCCUUAAAACAAUAGUUUUUGUUCAGGAGCAAAAUAAUCAUAAUAAUAAUUUUUAUUCUUGCAAAUUCAGUCAAACUGUUUUGCUUGGCCACAGCUGGAAGCUAUCAAGCUCAAACAGCAGGUACAACUUCAGAGUCACAGAGAUAAACUUACAGCCUGGUCAGUGUGUUAGCCAGCAGAGAAGACCUGCAGCAGCUGCAUGCAUUGUCUCACGAUCUAUUACAGUAUAUGGGCGCCCCCUAGCGCACGAAUUUUACGCUUCCAACCAGAUUCAAUUUAGAGCAGCCGUCCGACACGGAAACAGCUUCAGUCUCGUCUCUCUCAUCGACCAAACUAAUGAGCAGCACUUAAAAAUGAUAUCCCGUGAACAAGAGGAGUCUGUAAAUAAAUUCUCCGAGAUGAUACGACUCACCGAGGAGCCACUUUUUAAAUCGAGAGAUCACCCCAUUGAUGGCGACUGGACCCAAUAUGCCAUGGCAUUUUUAUCUGCAACAUUGCAUAAUAGCAAUCAGCAGCCUUUAACACUCCAGUAAAGGUUGUUGCUCUUGUCUCAUGCUGACGCUGUUACGUUGGUUGUGUGUUAAGAAAACGGGUUUAAGUGUCUGCGUGUGUGUUUUGCUUCAUUUACAGAACAUCUUGUGAAAAAAGCAAGGUUUCAAAAGGUUAAGAGGCAGCAGAAUUUUCAUUUAAAACAUUAAAAUGCAGUGAGUUCUCCACUUCCUACCUGCCUGCCUGCAUGUCCGCCUGCCUGCCUCAAGGGCUGCUAUCUAAAAAGGGAACGAUUCCAGAUAGAUAACCAUGCUCAAUUUGCCAAUGACAGAUCAUAAUGCCAGUUUCAACAGAUAGGAAUCAAUUUGUCUCAAUGAUCGCUCUGUAGGCUAACUGCCAGUGUGCUCCUGAUGUAUAUGGAAAUGUUUAUUGUUUAAAUCAUUGCUGGCGGGUCUGAAGUGAUCAAAACUGCUGAUAGGAAGAUGAGUGGUGUAAACAGAGCCUUGUUUUGGCUGCUAAAGACUGCAUCAAUGGUGCAUGCAUGGCGAUUACUUCAGGCAGCAGCAUUGUAACAGCGGUGGCCACGGGGUCAAUGGUUUAACUCUGAGGACUCGCUUGAAAAGUCUGUAUGGAGGAAUUGUGUGAUAAGUGCUCUCUAACCCCCAGAAACUACAGCUGAAGCACCCUUCGGCGCAGCAGCUUAAAUCCCAUCUGUCCCGGUGGAGCUGCACGGUGACCAUCAAUGCUAAACUGCGGUUGGACUGAGCACUUACGUGUCUCUUUGAGUCCCCUCUUUUCUCUUUAAAAAGAGGAGAGUGGGCCGUCGACUCGCCACAGACUCCUUUUUUUUAUGCUCCUGAAGUGACAAGGUUUUGGAGAUGACAAGUGAGAAAGCUGUGGCAGCAUUCAGGUCUAAGCCAGACAUGUGGCCCCACAGACCGCAGACAGAGGAUUGGAUUACUGUAAUUUAAGGUGUAAUGUGGUAGCACCAGGGGAUAUGUUAAAUGUCCACAGAAGUAUUUAGAAGUUUAACUUGAGCUUAUACCUUUUAUUUAGCGUUAAAUUGUGCGGUUUAUUUUCUCGGAUCUCAAUUCUAAUCAGACAUAGUAGACACACAUUAAAUUAUCUUUAAUUUGACCAAUUUGUUACAGUAUCUAACUCAAGUAGAUUACAUUUAUUUUUAUUUUUUGCUAAUUCUUUUCUUGUUCAAAUGCAUGUUUGUACAUUUUCAUAAAAAAACGUGUCUCGACUUAUGAUGCUGUAGCACAGAUUACUGCAGUAAAUUGGCCACUUAUGAGUUGGAAUUACAGCUAAACUAGCUAGCUACACAUUAUUUUAUGUUCACUGGGCCCCACCUGUCAAUUCUGUGUCUAAUAAAGUUUUUACAUAUUAUCUGUCUUGAUUGCUUUUCUCUGCACACCCCAGAGUAAGGAUUAAUCUUUCAAGUUCAUUUAAAAAUUGUAAAUCUCCUUUUUUUUGGUGAAAAUUCCUUAUCUCUUGGCAUGUUGCUUAAAAUCUACAAUGAGGAGUUAGAGCAGAACUUAAAGGGAUGCCUCUAAGUGUAGGCCAAUAAUAUUUUGAUGAGGUGGUUUUGUGAAAACCCAGGCUCUGCAUGUGCGAUUUAAAUAUUCAAGGUGCAGUUCUUUGUCCUAAUCCAACAACUUGUAACAUAAACAUGUUUAGUUGUAAUGUGGUUUAUGACAUAGGUUACAGAUCGACAUUGAUGGGAUUUUACUCUCUGGGCUUUGUUGUCAGCACAAAGAAGAUUGUGAGAAUUUUACAUCAAAUCCGGUCACGCCCAAGAUGGAACACAACAAGAGGACGCUCUUGAAAAAAAUAACUGCUCGACCAACAAAGUGGUUUCUCACAGAAAUCUCUGCAGAAGGUCACUUCUUUAUCAACAAUAAAAUGUUAUUUACAUCUCUGGUUUUUGUGAACGCACCUUGUUGUAUUAG